CCUACGGGUGGCAGCAGUGAGGAAUAUUGGUCAAUGGGCGCGAGUCUGAACCAGCCAUGCCGCGUGCAGGAAGACUGCUCUAUGAGUUGUAAACUGCUUUUGUACGAGGGUAAACUCAGAUACGCGUGUCUUUCUGAAAGUAUCUUACGAAUAAGGAUCGGCUAACUCCGUGCCAGCAGCCGCGGUAAUACGGAGGAUUCAAGCGUUAUCCGGAUUUAUUGGGUUUAAAGGGUGCGUAGAUGGGUUGAUAAGUUAGUGGUGAAAUCUCGCGGCUCAACUGCAGAAUUGCAUUUGAUACUGUCAGCCUAGAGUGCAGUUGCGGUAGGCGGAAUGCAUGGUGUAGCGGUGAAAUGCUUAGAGAUCACAAAGAACACCGAUUGCGAAGGCAGCUUACUAAGCUACCUCUGACAUUGAGGCACGAAAGUGUGGGUAGCAAACAGGAUUAGAUACCCGAGUAGUC
This 460-nucleotide ribosomal RNA is filed under the name uncultured bacterium. Its description in RNAcentral is "partial 16S ribosomal RNA". It matches the Rfam family "Bacterial small subunit ribosomal RNA", at positions 338 to 795 of the family's 1533-position model. The record is from RNAcentral.